Molecule: non-coding RNA, 178 nt
Filed under: Pyramidobacter piscolens
Lineage: Bacteria; Thermotogati; Synergistota; Synergistia; Synergistales; Dethiosulfovibrionaceae
Source: RNAcentral
UGUUAUAAUGAUGACAAUCGAACAUGAAACUCCCUUUUCAAAGAGGAAGCCGGUGAAAAUCCGGCGCGGCCCCGCCGCUGUAACUCUGACAAAUCCGAAGCAUGUCACUGAUCGCGUUAUUGGGAAGACUCGGACGAGGAUGAAGAGAAGCCAGAAUAUUCUUUGAGGGAGCUUGCAA